RNAcentral lists this ribosomal RNA (268 nucleotides) under uncultured microorganism. Its description in RNAcentral is "partial 16S ribosomal RNA". It matches the Rfam family "Archaeal small subunit ribosomal RNA", at positions 330 to 599 of the family's 1478-position model. The record is from RNAcentral.
GUACAGCAGUCGCGAAACCUUCGCAAUGCGGGAAACCGCGACGAGGGACUCCCAGUGCCUACGCUCAGCGUAGGCUGUUCCCGAGCCUAGAAAGCUCGGGGAGUAAGGGCUGGGUAAGACGGGUGCCAGCCGCCGCGGUAAUACCCGCAGCCCGAGUGGUGGCCACUAUUAUUGGGCCUAAAGCGUCCGUAGCCGGCCCGGGUAAAUGCCUGGGGUAAAUCGUGAGGCCUAACCUCACGAAUUCCGGGUAGACUGCCGGGCUAGGGGA